AAAAAACGAUUAUCAGGCAUGCUAUCAACAAGUUACAAAAUGGCUGUCCACGACAGUAUCCUCUAUCCUGUCCUGCUGAACCAGUACCACCUGCAAUAUAUCUCGCUUCAUUCCACUCUUCAAUGAAUCUGUUGUCGCUGAUACCUGUCACAUUUUUUGCAAUCUUCCGACAAAUUUCACACAAUCUAUUUCCUUUAAGCUUAAACCAAGUCUCUGCACAAUGAGA
Molecule: unclassified non-coding RNA, 226 nt
Filed under: Hevea brasiliensis (rubber tree)
Lineage: Eukaryota; Viridiplantae; Streptophyta; Magnoliopsida; Malpighiales; Euphorbiaceae
Source: RNAcentral